Alligator mississippiensis (American alligator) is the source of this 3104-nucleotide long non-coding RNA. RefSeq lists it as uncharacterized. NCBI's taxonomy places the organism in Eukaryota, Metazoa, Chordata, Crocodylia, Alligatoridae. The transcript is spliced from 3 exons. The record is from RefSeq and is a predicted model, not a curated record.
AAAAUAUUGCCUUCUGAUCUCUAACCUAAACCUAUUCUCCAUCAGCUUAUGACCAUUGUUCCUUGUCACCCCAGGUGGUGCUGGGGAGAAAAGAGCUCUGCCUAUUUGCUGUUGAUUCCCCCUGAUGAGCUUGUAGGCAGCCACCAGGUCCCCACCUCAGCCUCCUCUUGCUGAGGCUGAACAGGUUCAGGUCUCUCCACAUAGGGCCCGUCCUGCUGCCCUCUCACCAAGCAGGUGGCCCUUCUCUGGCUUGGUCACAUCCCUUUUGAAGUGUGGUGCCCAGUACUGGACGCAGUACUCCAACUGCGGCCUGACCAAAGUCGCAUAGAGGGGGAGUAUCACCUCUCUGGACGAGCUUGAAAUGCACCUUUGGAUGUAUGACAAGGUAUGGCUGGCCUUGCUGGCUGCAGUCUGGCAUUGGCGGCUCAUGUUCAUCUUGGAGUCAAUAAUGACUCCAAGAUCCCUUUCCACCUCUGUGCUUUCAAGAAGGGAACUCCCCAGCCUGUAUGUAUGCUGUGGAUUCCUUCUCCCAAGGUGCAGAACCCUGAAUUUGUCUACGUUGAACCCCGUCCUACUACUUUUAGAGGCUAAUGAUGUGAUGGUCUGUACUGGGAUCUUUUUAGAUUAGGCUACAAUUCAUCCAGUCUUUCUUUAUCCUUUUAUUUUAAAGAUGGGCUCUGUGGUUGUGCUUUAGUUCUCAGACACAUCACCUCACUGUGCAGAUUUGACUUAGAUGGGUUUGCUAAUUUUCAUCUUCAGCUAGACAGCUGGCCUUGUCCAUACUGGGGAAAUAGCAGAUGAAAUAUAUUUUAACUUUAGUAAGGCUGUAGUCCUGUAUGCCCUUGGUUACUUUGUCUGGAGAAAACUAUGAAUGGUUCAGAGAUUGACUUCUCUCCUGCCAGUAGUUCCAUCCAUACCCUGUGCAAAACGUGAUCAUGAUGCAUGGGAUUAAAACCAUUAUUUCCCCAGGCUUUGACUGCUCUUGGUGUUUUUACAUGUGAACAUGGGGCAGAAGCAUUGCCUUGGUUCUGCAUACAUAUUAAGGCCCUUGGGCAUAUGCAAGGAACAUAUUUCAGUUCCUGUUGUACCUCCUGUCACCUCUCCUGGAAAGCCAGGUGGAAGGGAUAAGGAAAACACAUGGAAAGAAUUUGCUUUCUAGACUGACUUCUUUCAAUUUCAAAAUUCUAUAAAAAAGUUACUAAAAUAGUUUAGGACCUGUGCUGCACACAGCACCCCACAUCCCCUCCCUGGCCAUUCUAGAGUGGGCACCACAUGCAGCAUGGGUCCUGGACUGGCUGGAGUCAGGUGCUGUAUGCAGCAUAUGUCCUAGAUUAGCCCAUGUGGGGGACAGUGUGGCAUGGUGCUAGAUUGGAUCUGGCAUGCAAGAUGAUGGGGCAGGUCCAUAGGCCUGAUCCAGCCAGUGGGGCUGGCCAUAUGCCAUGCAUCUGGCCCAUGGACUGGCCAUGUGCUAUUCAUCUGGCCUGUGAUGCUAGCUGAGUAUGACUCACUCCUCACUCUGCGAAUAGUCUUUUAGCCUCUCAGUGUCCCUCUCUUCAAACUUCAUGCUGUUUAAGACAUACACUUGUUGCAACAUAGCGCUAGUUCAGUGGUUCAUAACCAGGGUUCUGGGGCACCUGGAGAGGUGCCACAAAAUCCUUUGAAGGGUACUGUAACAGGGAACCCUAGCCCUGUAAUGAGGAAGCAGGUUUGCCCCUUUAAGGCCAGAACUUUCUGGGCAUGGAGGGCUGGUAAGGAAGGGGUUAAAUGCUGAACCUGGAUGGCUAGUCAGCUGACCGGAAAAGGCAGGACUAUAAGAACCCUGGUUUGAACUGCAGUAAGAGAGCAGCAGCUGAAGGGGAAGUAGUGUGUCUGAGAGUUGUAUAAAGAAGCUUGGGGAGUGGGCUAUUGUAGGAAGGGAGAAGCUCCAGAAACCCCUGAGAGAUGGUGGCUGCACCACAGCCUGGCUACUGUAGCCGACAUUGCGGAGCCAAAGCAGGAAACAGGUUUAUGACAACUCCUCCUCACCAGCAUCCUCCUGCUUAAAUGAGAGCUGCAACUGAAGCACCACAGCUGAUUACAGCAGCCACAGACUAACAAGAGAGACUGUCUUAGAUGGAUGAUACGAUCAGCCAAAGAGGAUGCAAACAAACUACAAGAAAACUUGUUUCUGCUGAUUAGUAAUAACUAACUAGUGCUUGUGUUCCUUUACAAGUUAGGACAACAGAAUUUCUUAAUGCCUUUUGAGUUCUGAGAGACUCCAUUUUGUUCUUGUAUGGAAUUCAUCAAAAGGGGAAGUCUGGCCUCAGGAAUAGAAGCAGUCUGCUGGCCAGCUGCCCCUUUUGGACAGCUUUGAAUUCCUCCCUUUCCAAUGUGCAUGAGGCUGGCGGGGCAUGGUGGCAGUGGGCAGGGAGUCCCCCCAGGUGGCUGCAGUGGUGUUAGCUGGCAGGGGUGGGGGGAGUGCCAACUGGCAGUCAGAGAUCACCCACAGACACUGCCGGUGGUGUUGGCGGUGGGGUAGUGGCAACUGUCUGCAGGUGCCGGUGGCAGCAUUGGUGGUGCCUCUCUCAGUGGGUGCACCACUAAUCUCAGGGGGUGCACAUGCAUCGCCAAUGCUUCCCAAAUGUGUUAGUUCACCCUGCCUCACUCUAAUUCUCUUAUAGUCUUAAUCCUCAAUGCCUCUUGUUGUUCCCUCCUAUUAUCUAAGGUGCUUUGAAUUGUCCUUUUUCACUUUCUCAUCCAGUGCAUUAGAAGAGCCUAUACAUUUGUUUUUAACGAACACAGGCUUUGUAUUGUAUAAAUACUGAACUUCUUAGAGUGGGUAAUAACCUGAGAAGUCUGAUGAACAGUAAACAGCACCUGUUUUGUCUAGCUGCAUGGUGAAGAGUCUGCAAUGGAGUAACAACCUGUGUUUUAUCAAGCUUUAUUUUUCUCUGCUGCCAAAGUCUUCAUGACCACACUUGAAAAGAGAUUUGAUUUUCAGUGACACUGGAAUGAGCAUGUCCAAACUGUUGCAAAAAACCAGGGCUGUUCAACUGGUGGCCUGUGUGCUGUAAAUGGCUCAAGAAGGGUUAAAUUGUGUCCCCCAGACUUGUCUGACUGCCACU